UUUUUAUUAUUGAAUCCUGAAAAUAUGCAGCCUUUUCCCCAAUGAAAUAAAAUGACUGAAAUAAACAUACCAAAAAUAUCAAUUCUUCACAGGGUGUGUUACAUUGAUGUUAAUCUAUUUCUACUGCACAACUAACCUGCUGAUUAGAAACUAAAUACAAAUUGAAAUGAAUUGACUUUCUCCUCUUGAUGAUACUGGUGUUACAGAUGCUUCCUUCAUGACCUUGACCACACAGUCAAAUGUUACAGCUUGUUUAAUUUAAAUGUCUGUUGUUUCUGUCUUCAGAAACACCGCCAACGCAGCAAAGAGACCUCGGUCCCAGUGCAGAGGUCCGUUCCCAGGCCGGUGCGCAGGAGGG
This is a non-coding RNA of Xyrichtys novacula (pearly razorfish), 358 nucleotides long. Lineage: Eukaryota; Metazoa; Chordata; Actinopteri; Labriformes; Labridae. The record is from the annotation of a GenBank genome assembly.